Molecule: unclassified non-coding RNA, 426 nt
Filed under: Hevea brasiliensis (rubber tree)
Lineage: Eukaryota; Viridiplantae; Streptophyta; Magnoliopsida; Malpighiales; Euphorbiaceae
Source: RNAcentral
GAAAGUUCUUUAAUUUAAUGUUGUUCAUUUGAAAAUGCCUAUGUAUUAGCAUUUGGUCUGCUGAUGAGAGCUCUCUUUAGGUAAAAAAUAAUACCGAAUGAUGGUAUAUAACAUGACUAAAUUAUAUGAAAUAAAUCACAAAUGAGUUGGCUAAGAGAAAGGAGGUUUUGACCUAUUACUGUCAAGAUGGUGGUUGAAAUUCUUUUUGAAAUAAGUGUUACGUAAAUUGUCCAGUGAACUUUUCAUGAAAAGUAGACUUUCUCAAACAAUAUUUAAAAGAAAAAAAAAAUCAUCAUUAAAGCAUAAUAACUAACCUCAUUUGAGCAAGGGCUGGGGAUCUAAUGAGAGCGAGUGUCACUCCAUUAUUUGGAUAAUGGCCUAGUGAGAGUCAUGAUAGGUAAAUGAUAUAUAUAUAUAUAUAUAUCU